Long non-coding RNA from Perca flavescens (yellow perch), 204 nucleotides. RefSeq lists it as uncharacterized. NCBI's taxonomy places the organism in Eukaryota, Metazoa, Chordata, Actinopteri, Perciformes, Percidae. The transcript is spliced from 2 exons. The record is from RefSeq and is a predicted model, not a curated record.
AAAUUAAAUGGCGGACCUAAGCGGGAGUUGGAGCGGUAUCGCUGACGGCAAAAUAAUCAUUUAAAUGGACAAACGGAGGCUGUCACUGAGGAUGGGAAAGCAAAAGACAAGCAGGGGGACAGAGGCCAAAGAGAGAUGAAUAGCUAGAUUAUUUGCUAAAGCCUUUUAGAGAUUGGCAUUCUGAAAAUAAAUGCAUUAAAUGAA